CACGGCUAGUGUAAAUGGUCUCACGGCUAGUUGUCAUGGUCACACGGCCAGUGUCAUAGUCUCACGGCCAGUGUCAUAGUCUCACGGCCAGUGUCAUAGUCUCACGGCCAGUGUCAUAGUCUCACGGCCAGUGUCAUAGUCUCACGGCCAGUGUCAUAGUCUCACGGCCAGUGUCUUAGUCUCACGGCCAGUGUCAUAGUCUCACGGCCAGUGUCAUAGUCUCACGGCCAGCGUCAUAGUCUCACGGCCAGUGUCAUAGUCUCACGGCCAGUGUCAUAGUCCACAUUCCUAUCAUUUGAGCCAGACUAUUUCCCCCCUCAUGCAGAGCCUGUAGCUAGAAUCCACCCCUCUUUUUCCACCGGUGCCAAGGCACUCUUCUCGCUCCCUAGUAGGCUGGUUCUGUUCUCUGGUCGUCUUGGCAGCCUGCCCUCCCCCCAGGAUUGGUGCUCUCCACUGGGCCGGCCCUUCACUGUGAAGCCUAACAGGACUCGG
Molecule: long non-coding RNA, 492 nt
Organism: Oncorhynchus tshawytscha (Chinook salmon)
Lineage: Eukaryota; Metazoa; Chordata; Actinopteri; Salmoniformes; Salmonidae
Source: Ensembl